GUCAGCCAUAGUCGGAGGAGGUUGUUCUUCAACAGCAAUAUCAGAAAAUUGAAGCUUCCUCAUAGCAUGACUAUCUCGUUCUACAUCAAUCCCCUUCAAUUGAGUCUCAGUACACACAGUUUCCACUACAUGCAAGGUUGAUUUCGAUUGGAAUUUUUCUGGCAGAAAACUUCCAAAUAUCAAUGGUUCGAGUUCCUUUGUGAUGCCUGGAGCCGGAGUAACGAUCUGGGGUGGAGGAGGGAGUGGUUGUCGCCGGCAACGAGCCAUAUCAAUGGCGGUUCCUUUGUGAUGCCUGGAGCCGGAGUAACGAUCUGGGGUGGAGGAGGGAGUGGUUGUCGCCGGCGACGAGCCAUAUCAACGGCGGAAGCACCUUGCUAACGUGCGCUGAUCAAGCGCACUGUUCCAUUGAAACCUACGCCGAGAGUUUCUCUCUCCUCUCU
Molecule: long non-coding RNA, 440 nt
Filed under: Nicotiana benthamiana
Lineage: Eukaryota; Viridiplantae; Streptophyta; Magnoliopsida; Solanales; Solanaceae
Description: long non-coding RNA (NBEN_LNC040170)
Source: RNAcentral